GAAACCGGUUUCAGGCGGAUUUGAGACGGGACUCAAAUUCAUUAACUUCGGACUCAGAACAUGGAUCCUGUUGUGAAUCGGACAUGCCAUGCCAUCAAUGAUCUCCUAGAAUUGUUUAACUAAAAGAAGGUUUAUACUUGAAUAAGCUGUAUCAUGAUCCUAAUAAGUGCACUUGUCUCAUAUUAAGAUAUUUCUUUAUUUAGAAAAUAAAGAGGAAAAGGGAAAUGACCAAACUGCUGAUGUCGAUGAAGGUUUCAGUGAGCUGGAGACUAAUCUACAAGCAAAGAUGGGACAGAAUAAUCCAAUUAU
Molecule: long non-coding RNA, 309 nt
Organism: Eurytemora carolleeae
Lineage: Eukaryota; Metazoa; Arthropoda; Copepoda; Calanoida; Temoridae
Exons: 2
Source: RefSeq, a predicted model, not a curated record